GCGCUUUUGGAGCGGCCGAUGUCUGAUUAGCUAGUUGGUGAGGUAAAGGCUUACCAAGGCGUCGAUCAGUAGCUGGUCUGAGAGGACGACCAGCCACACUGGGACUGAGACACGGCCCAGACUCCUACGGGAGGCAGCAGUGGGGAAUUUUGGACAAUGGGGGAAACCCUGAUCCAGCCAUGCCGCGUGAGUGAAGAAGGCCUUCGGGUUGUAAAGCUCUUUCAGCCGGAACGAAACGGUCACGGCUAAUACCCGUGACAACUGACGGUACCGGAAGAAGAAGCACCGGCUAACUACGUGCCAGCAGCCGCGGUAAUACGUAGGGUGCGAGCGUUAAUCGGAAUUACUGGGCGUAAAGCGUGCGCAGGCGGUUUUGUAAGUCAGAUGUGAAAUCC
This 395-nucleotide ribosomal RNA is filed under the name uncultured ammonia-oxidizing bacterium. RNAcentral describes it as "bacterial SSU rRNA". It matches the Rfam family "Bacterial small subunit ribosomal RNA", at positions 215 to 602 of the family's 1533-position model. The record is from RNAcentral.